This is a long non-coding RNA of Musa acuminata subsp. malaccensis (wild Malaysian banana), 707 nucleotides long. RefSeq lists it as uncharacterized. NCBI's taxonomy places the organism in Eukaryota, Viridiplantae, Streptophyta, Magnoliopsida, Zingiberales, Musaceae. The record is from RefSeq and is a predicted model, not a curated record.
CAGUAACGAUUCGGCCACCGACGCCCGUCGCUCUCUCGCUACGAACCCGAGCUUGGAAGCGCUACCCAUGGAGAUCAAUUCAGGGAGGCUGCCCUUUGAUUUGCCCUUCCACCCUGCCUCCCCUCUCGUGGCGGACGGCGGUCUUCACCUGUGAGUUCCGAUCCUGGCCACGAUUCUAACUCUGUCAUGUGGACGAAGCUAUGACCUAAUAUCUGUCGAAACCCGCGCUGACAGGUACCGCUACGCCGCCGAAUCGCAGCCUCAAAGGGUUGGGAUAUCCGGAAAGGUUGGUAACCAUUCUACCAAAUAGGAUAAUUAAACCACUUGCAGAGCAUUCAGAAUACCCAAUCGAGCUCAUUGCUUUCUCUAAUGAUAGAAAAUUUCUUGGCAGUAUUUCACAUGAUCAAAUGUUCAAGGUGAGGUCGUCGCACAGCAUUUAACACUAUCGACAUCAAGUGCAGCGGACUCGUAGUCUGUGGCAAGACUCCAGUUAGCAUUAAAGUCCUUUUGCUCUGAACAUCCAAAAGACGCAUUUUAGAACAAAAGGAGAUUUUUCUUUUGUUUUUAAUCCAUUUGUUGCUCCAAUCCAUUAUUCUUGUCCAAGAGGGUGUAAUUUAUGAGAAACAGCACAGCACAACAUUGUCAUAUGCCCAAUGCCUGCCUGAAGGCAUAUGUUCUAAUGACAGUAUGCCAGUAUUUGUCUCAAA